This 237-nucleotide ribosomal RNA is filed under the name uncultured bacterium. Its description in RNAcentral is "partial 16S ribosomal RNA". It matches the Rfam family "Bacterial small subunit ribosomal RNA", at positions 118 to 354 of the family's 1533-position model. The record is from RNAcentral.
UGAGCAAUCUGCCCUUCUCUUCGGAAUAAGCGUUGGAAACGACGUCUAAUGCCGAAUACGACCUCCUUUCGCAUGAUCGGAGGUGGAAAGCUCCGGCGGAGAAGGAUGAGCUCGCGGCCUAUCAGCUUGUUGGUGGGGUAACGGCCCACCAAGGCGACGACGGGUAGCCGGCCUGAGAGGGCGACCGGCCACACUGGGACUGAGACACGGCCCAGACUCCUACGGGAGGCAGNAGGU